Molecule: ribosomal RNA, 700 nt
Filed under: uncultured bacterium
Lineage: Bacteria
Description: bacterial SSU rRNA
Rfam family: Bacterial small subunit ribosomal RNA
Source: RNAcentral
UGCAAGUCGAGCGGGCGUAGCAAUACGUCAGCGGCAGACGGGUGAGUAACGCGUGGGAACAUACCUUUUGGUUCGGAACAACACAGGGAAACUUGUGCUAAUACCGGAUAAGCCCUUACGGGGAAAGAUUUAUCGCCGAAAGAUUGGCCCGCGUCUGAUUAGCUUGUUGGUGAGGUAGUGGCUCACCAAGGCGACGAUCAGUAGCUGGUCUGAGAGGAUGAUCAGCCAUAUUGGGACUGAGACACGGCCCAAACUCCUACGGGAGGCAGCAGUGGGGAAUAUUGGACAAUGGGCGCAAGCCUGAUCCAGCCAUGCCGCGUGAGUGAUGAAGGCCCUAGGGUUGUAAAGCUCUUUUGUGCGGGAAGAUAAUGACGGUACCGCAAGAAUAAGCCCCGGCUAACUUCGUGCCAGCAGCCGCGGUAAUACGAAGGGGGCUAGCGUUGCUCGGAAUCACUGGGCGUAAAGGGUGCGUAGGCGGGUCUUUAAGUCAGGGGUGAAAUCCUGGAGCUCAACUCCAGAACUGCCUUUGAUACUGAGGAUCUUGAGUUCGGGAGAGGUGAGUGGAACUGCGAGUGUAGAGGUGAAAUUCGUAGAUAUUCGCAAGAACACCAGUGGCGAAGGCGGCUCACUGGCCCGAUACUGACGCUGAGGCACGAAAGCGUGGGGAGCAAACAGGAUUAGAUACCCUGGGUAGUCCACC